GGUUAAGCGACUAAGCGUACACGGUGGAUGCCCUGGCAGUCAGAGGCGAUGAAGGACGUGCUAAUCUGCGAAAAGCGUCGGUAAGGUGAUAUGAACCGUUAUAACCGGCGAUGUCCGAAUGGGGAAACCCAGUGCAAUUCGUUGCACUAUCGUUAACUGAAUACAUAGGUUAACGAGGCGAACCGGGGGAACUGAAACAUCUAAGUACCCCGAGGAAAAGAAAUCAACCGAGAUUCCCCCAGUAGCGGCGAGCGAACGGGGAGCAGCCCAGAGUCUGAAUCAGCUUGUGUGUUAGUGGAACGGUCUGGAAAGUCCGACGGUACAGGGUGAUAGUCCCGUACACCAAAAUGCACAGGCUGUGAACUCGAAGAGUAGGGCGGGACACGUGGUAUCCUGUCUGAAUAUGGGGGGACCAUCCUCCAAGGCUAAAUACUCCUGACUGACCGAUAGUGAACCAGUACCGUGAGGGAAAGGCGAAAAGAACCCCGGCGAGGGGAGUGAAAAAGAACCUGAAACCGUGUACGUACAAGCAGUGGGAGCACCUUCGGGUGUGACUGCGUACCUUUUGUAUAAUGGGUCAGCGACUUAUAUUCUGUAGCAAGGUUAACCGUAUAGGGGAGCCGCAGGGAAACCGAGUCUUAACUGGGCGUUAAGUUGCAGGGUAUAGACCCGAACCGGUGAU
RNAcentral lists this non-coding RNA (682 nucleotides) under Klebsiella pneumoniae IS46. RNAcentral's name for it is "LSU rRNA". It matches the Rfam family "Bacterial large subunit ribosomal RNA", at positions 1 to 729 of the family's 2925-position model. The record is from RNAcentral. Lineage: Bacteria; Pseudomonadati; Pseudomonadota; Gammaproteobacteria; Enterobacterales; Enterobacteriaceae.